Micropterus dolomieu (smallmouth bass) is the source of this 1165-nucleotide long non-coding RNA. RefSeq lists it as uncharacterized. The transcript has 4 exons. Lineage: Eukaryota; Metazoa; Chordata; Actinopteri; Centrarchiformes; Centrarchidae. The record is from RefSeq and is a predicted model, not a curated record.
UCCUCCAGACAGUCAAUGGGCAUAAAGUUGUUAUUGUGAUGUAGAGACAGAGCUCAGUUAAAACUUUAUGGAUGAAAGAUACAUUUGUUACAAAUUAAUAACUCACCAAUCUGAAACUCUUGCUCCAGUCCAUGUUGCUAAGCUGGUAAGGGGAUAUACAGCUGAACAGAAGCCCUGUGUACCGGCUUCUCACAACCCGCCCUUCUCGGCUUCUGAUCUUCUAGUGGAGUGAAGCCUCCAUCACCUGACUGGCUCUCUCCAUUUGGCCAUUGGUUUGAGGAUGGUACUCAAAGGAAAGACUGGCUCCCAGAACUAAACCGUCAGUCAUUGGAGGCGGAAGAUGUAUUCCAGCAGGAGGUAAAGUACAGUGUUUUAGGGCUUUUUCGCAGAAGACAGCUGGUUGCUGUGACUGGAAACAAGAAUGCGGGGAUGUACCAAAACAGAAGAGAUGUGGGCUGGAAAACCAAAACAAUGAGCUGAAAGAAGAAAGAACUGUAGAGUCAGAGGCUGUACAGAGAGAGAUUUGAAACCUGCUGUAGGUCUAUCUACAACAACAAAAAAAAAACAAUUGUGAGCCACGAGUCAGAAGCACUGUACCUUGGUUAUCUAUGCAUCCAUCUAUAAAUUAUACUGGUUUUUCCCUCCUUGGCAGUGAUGGUGACACAGGACUGGUCGUUGCCUGAGGCUAGGAUUGGAUAAGGUACCACCAAAAGAGAAGACCCAUUCUCUGCUUUGAUCUUCUUACGCCCUCGUUCUUCCCUUGGGGGAGGGCCGAGAAGUCCCACGAGGCCCCCAUUGUUUUUGCCAGGCUCCAUCCCGUGGCCACAGGCUAACCCUGAGAUGAGGUGAGGUGUGGGGGCUCCACCCAGCCGGCUGUGGCUGCUUGAGGUGGGUGUAGUGGGGGUGAUGAUCUCUGAGGUGUUGAGGUUACCUGUUCUGGAUGCCAGCGCCACACCUGAUGGGUGAAAAAAGUAAAGACAAGGACAUGAUUGCAAUAAGUUAUCAUCGAGGAGUUACAUUUUUUAAAAGACCCCUUAAAAUACUGCGUCCAAUCUUGCCUUCAAUGUUCUGUGUGGACUGAUUUGAAAUAUUUUAAUGAAAGUCUAUUGCAAUCUGUCUACCUCCUACACAAACAUACAUAUAGCACAGAGAAGUCCACAUUACC